This 253-nucleotide ribosomal RNA is filed under the name uncultured bacterium. RNAcentral's name for it is "partial 16S ribosomal RNA". It matches the Rfam family "Bacterial small subunit ribosomal RNA", at positions 524 to 776 of the family's 1533-position model. The record is from RNAcentral.
UACAGAGGGUGCGAGCGUUAAUCGGAAUUACUGGGCGUAAAGCGCGCGUAGGCGGCUUUUCAAGCCGAUUGUGAAAUCCCCGGGCUUAACCUGGGAACUGCAGUCGGGACUGUCUAGCUAGAGUAUGGGAGAGGGAAGUGGAAUUUCAGGUGUAGCGGUGAAAUGCGUAGAUAUCUGAAGGAACAUCAGUGGCGAAGGCGACUUCCUGGACCAAUACUGACGCUCAUGUGCGAAAGCGUGGGGAGCAAACAGG